AACGAUGAACCGCUUUCGGGCGGGGAUUAGUGGCGAACGGGUGAGUAACACGUGGGCAAUCUGCCCUGCACUCUGGGACAAGCCCUGGAAACGGGGUCUAAUACCGGAUAUGACCGUCUGCCGCAUGGUGGAUGGUGUAAAGCUCCGGCGGUGCAGGAUGAGCCCGCGGCCUAUCAGCUUGUUGGUGAGGUAGUGGCUCACCAAGGCGACGACGGGUAGCCGGCCUGAGAGGGCGACCGGCCACACUGGGACUGAGACACGGCCCAGACUCCUACGGGAGGCAGCAGUGGGGAAUAUUGCACAAUGGGCGAAAGCCUGAUGCAGCGACGCCGCGUGAGGGAUGACGGCCUUCGGGUUGUAAACCUCUUUCAGCAGGGAAGAAGCGAAAGUGACGGUACCUGCAGAAGAAGCGCCGGCUAACUACGUGCCAGCAGCCGCGGUAAUACGUAGGGCGCAAGCGUUGUCCGGAAUUAUUGGGCGUAAAGAGCUCGUAGGCGGCUUGUCACGUCGGUUGUGAAAGCCCGGGGCUUAACCCCGGGUCUGCAGUCGAUACGGGCAGGCUAGAGUUCGGUAGGGGAGAUCGGAAUUCCUGGUGUAGCGGUGAAAUGCGCAGAUAUCAGGAGGAACACCGGUGGCGAAGGCGGAUCUCUGGGCCGAUACUGACGCUGAGGAGCGAAAGCGUGGGGAGCGAACAGGAUUAGAUACCCUGGUAGUCCACGCCGUAAACGGUGGGCACUAGGUGUGGGCAACAUUCCACGUUGUCCGUGCCGCAGCUAACGCAUUAAGUGCCCC
Molecule: ribosomal RNA, 792 nt
Filed under: Streptomyces cacaoi
Lineage: Bacteria; Bacillati; Actinomycetota; Actinomycetes; Kitasatosporales; Streptomycetaceae
Description: bacterial SSU rRNA
Rfam family: Bacterial small subunit ribosomal RNA
Source: RNAcentral